CGUCUAUAUACGCAUAGCAUAUCAAUAAGCGGAGGAAAAGAAACUAACUAGGAUUCCCUCAGUAACGGCGAGUGAAGCGGGAAGAGCUCAAAUUUGAAAUCUUCAAGGUUUUACCUUGACGAAUUGUAGUUUAAAGAAGUGUUUUCUGUUGGAGUUUUGGUAAAAGUUCUUUGGAAAAGGACAUCAUAGAGGGUGAGAAUCCCGUAUUUGACCAUUAUCUCCAGCUUUGUGAUACACUUUCAAAGAGUCGGAUUGUUUGGGAAUGCAGUCCAAAAUGGGUGGUAAAUUUCAUCUAAAGCUAAAUAUUGGCGAGAGACCGAUAGCGAACAAGUACCGUGAGGGAAAGAUGAAAAGAACUUUGAAAAGAGAGUUAAACAGUACGUGAAAUUGUCAAAAGGGAAGCGUUUGACACCAGUGUUGUUUUCUCGAAAAUCAAUUAAAAAAGGCCGGAUUUUGUGUUGUAUUGACUUUAUCAGCUUUCUGCACUCUUUUCUUGUCUUUUUUAAUGCACCUUUCGUUUAACAAGUCAACAUCAAUUUCUUUUGUUGUAAAAGGGUCAUUGGAAGGUGGCUUUCUUUUCGGAGAAAGUGUUUAUAGCCUUUGGCCUCUGCAAUCGGAGAGAUUGAGGUCUGCAGCGUAGAUCCUUCGGGGUUAGAUACAUUUGUGCUAAGUUAUAGCCUUUCAUAGACAACUUGUUGACUAUGAUCAGUCAUGUAGCUUACUCGCUUAUGCUAUUUUACCUACGCUUAGGAUGUUGAAGUCAUCGUAUCGCGC
This 774-nucleotide ribosomal RNA is filed under the name uncultured Neocallimastigales. RNAcentral's name for it is "partial large subunit ribosomal RNA". It matches the Rfam family "Eukaryotic large subunit ribosomal RNA", at positions 22 to 645 of the family's 3401-position model. The record is from RNAcentral. Lineage: Eukaryota; Fungi; Neocallimastigomycota; Neocallimastigomycetes; Neocallimastigales.